GUAACCUGCCUGUAAGACUGGGAUAACUCCGGGAAACCGGGGCUAAUACCGGAUGGUUGUUUGAACCGCAUGGUUCAAACAUAAAAGGUGGCUUCGGCUACCACUUACAGAUGGACCCGCGGCGCAUUAGCUAGUUGGUGAGGUAANGGCUCACCAAGGCAACGAUGCGUAGCCGACCUGAGAGGGUGAUCGGCCACACUGGGACUGAGACACGGCCCAGACUCCUACGGGAGGCAGCAGUAGGGAAUCUUCCGCAAUGGACGAAAGUCUGACGGAGCAACGCCGCGUGAGUGAUGAAGGUUUUCGGAUCGUAAAGCUCUGUUGUUAGGGAAGAACAAGUACCGUUCGAAUAGGGCGGUACCUUGACGGUACCUAACCAGAAAGCCACGGCUAACUACGUGCCAGCAGCCGCGGUAAUACGUAGGUGGCAAGCGUUGUCCGGAAUUAUUGGGCGUAAAGGGCUCGCAGGCGGUUUCUUAAGUCUGAUGUGAAAGCCCCCGGCUCAACCGGGGAGGGUCAUUGGAAACUGGGGAACUUGAGUGCAGAAGAGGAGAGUGGAAUUCCACGUGUAGCGGUGAAAUGCGUAGAGAUGUGGAGGAACACCAGUGGCGAAGGCGACUCUCUGGUCUGUAAC
RNAcentral lists this ribosomal RNA (634 nucleotides) under Priestia megaterium. Its description in RNAcentral is "bacterial SSU rRNA". It matches the Rfam family "Bacterial small subunit ribosomal RNA", at positions 121 to 740 of the family's 1533-position model. The record is from RNAcentral. Lineage: Bacteria; Bacillati; Bacillota; Bacilli; Caryophanales; Bacillaceae.